Molecule: ribosomal RNA, 1406 nt
Filed under: Ralstonia sp. 12D
Lineage: Bacteria; Pseudomonadati; Pseudomonadota; Betaproteobacteria; Burkholderiales; Burkholderiaceae
Description: partial 16S ribosomal RNA
Rfam family: Bacterial small subunit ribosomal RNA
Source: RNAcentral
AGAGUUUGAUCCUGGCUCAGAUUAACGCUGCGGCAUGCCUUACACAUGCAAGUCGAACGGCAGCAUGAUCUAGCUUGCUAGAUUGAUGCGAGUGCGAACGGGUGAGUAAUACAUCGGAACGUGCCCUGUAGUGGGGGAUAACUAGUCGAAAGAUUAGCUAAUACCGCAUACGACCUGAGGGUGAAAGUGGGGGACCGCAAGGCCUCAUGCUAUAGGAGCGGCCGAUGUCUGAUUAGCUAGUUGGUGGGGUAAAGGCCCACCAAGGCGACGAUCAGUAGCUGGUCUGAGAGGACGAUCAGCCACACUGGGACUGAGACACGGCCCAGACUCCUACGGGAGGCAGCAGUGGGGAAUUUUGGACAAUGGGCGAAAGCCUGAUCCAGCAAUGCCGCGUGUGUGAAGAAGGCCUUCGGGUUGUAAAGCACUUUUGUCCGGAAAGAAAUGGCUCUGGUUAAUACCUGGGGUCGAUGACGGUUCCGGAAGAAUAAGGACCGGCUAACUACGUGCCAGCAGCCGCGGUAAUACGUAGGGUCCAAGCGUUAAUCGGAAUUACUGGGCGUAAAGCGUGCGCAGGCGGUUGUGCAAGACCGAUGUGAAAUCCCCGAGCUUAACUUGGGAAUUGCAUUGGUGACUGCACGGCUAGAGUGUGUCAGAGGGGGGUAGAAUUCCACGUGUAGCAGUGAAAUGCGUAGAGAUGUGGAGGAAUACCGAUGGCGAAGGCAGCCCCUGGGAUAACACUGACGCUCAUGCACGAAAGCGUGGGGAGCAAACAGGAUUAGAUACCCUGGUAGUCCACGCCCUAAACGAUGUCAACUAGUUGUUGGGGAUUCAUUUCCUUAGUAACGUAGCUAACGCGUGAAGUUUGACCGCCUGGGGAGUACCGUCGCAAGAUUAAAACUCAAAGGAAUUGACCGGGACCCGCACAAGCCGGUGGAUGAUGUGGAUUAAUUCGAUGCAACGCGAAAAACCUUACCUACCCUUGACAUCCCACUUACGAACCGCAACGAGCGCAACCCUUGUCUCUAGUUGCUACGAAAGGGCACUCUAGAGAGACUGCCGGUGACAAACCGGAGGAAGGUGGGGAUGACGUCAAGGCCUCAUGGCCCUUAUGGGUAGGGCUUCACACGUCAUACAAUGGUGCAUACAGAGGGUUGCCAAGCCGCGAGGUGGAGCUAAUCCCAGAAAAUGCAUCGUAGUCCGGAUCGUAGUCUGCAACUCGACUACGUGAAGCUGGAAUCGCUAGUAAUCGCGGAUCAGCAUGCCGCGGUGAAUACGUUCCCGGGUCUUGUACACACCGCCCGUCACACCAUGGGAGUGGGCUUUACCAGAAGUAGUUAGCCUAACCGCAAGGAGGGCGAUUACCACGGUAGGGUUCAUGACUGGGGUGAAGUCGUAACAAGGUAACC